Helianthus annuus (common sunflower) is the source of this 1326-nucleotide long non-coding RNA. RefSeq lists it as uncharacterized. The record is from RefSeq and is a predicted model, not a curated record. The transcript is spliced from 4 exons. NCBI's taxonomy places the organism in Eukaryota, Viridiplantae, Streptophyta, Magnoliopsida, Asterales, Asteraceae.
CCCAAAAUCUAAAUAGUUCCCCCAAAAGUUUAGAUUUCCCUAUGAGAUUUCACAAUGAACAUUCAUCUCUCCCAUUACCCACCCCAAUCGCUAUUCUUUCGCUGAAACUGCUAGAUCGUCUCCUCUUAUCGAUUCCCACUACUACGCCCCUAAUGAAUCGCAACUGAGUAACCGAUGAACCACAACUGCACCACCAGAUGAUCUCUCAUCGCCGCUCAUACCUUGUCACUCAACUCUUCUUCGCUUCACUUCAGCCCCGGAAGCCUUCAACAUGUAUAUGUAUGAUUAUUUGUACAUGGGACAUGUGAAUAUAGAAUGACUGGAUGAGGUCUUCAAAGUUACUCAGAUCAGAUUGGACAUGGAUCUGGUACAAAUAAACAUCUUAGAGAGGAUGCAGAAAUCGCUAUGCAAGGACUCAUCAAUUUUGCUUAAUAUACAUCUAGUAUACAUCUGUAAGUUGCUAGCUGUUAAUAUUUUUAUAUGUAACCAGGUCAUCCAACUACUAGUUUUUUUAGUUUUAGCCUUUUAAGUUUGAUUCUUCAAGUUAUUAAGCAUACAAAUUCUAUUGAGCAUAAAAAUAUGUGAGAUAUACCUGGCAGAAUGGGUGGGUCAGGUUGGGCGCAGUGAUGGGUCAUAAUAGGUUCGUGUCAGAACAUGUCAUUUUUUUAUAAAAAGCUCAGUUUGGUUCGGGUCAGAAUCAGUUUUGAUACCAAUUGAUACAAGUCGGAAUGGGUCAACUCUAAUCUACAACAUAUUUUAUACUUUAGAUCCCUAUCGUCCCAGCUAACUAUAUUCCUUAUAUUCUGAACUUUUUUUAGUUAAGUUUUUUUCGUAGUAGCAUAUUUAGGGAAUCAGAGUGUAACGUGAAUGUGAAAUCUUAGCAGCGCCAGGUUUUUGAUAAAACGUCAGCGUCAGAACUCGCCCAAAAAUCUAAGUGCUAAAUCAUUCAAAAUCUAAGAGAAAUCACCAUAAAGAAUUACUAAAAAUUUAGAACAAGAAUUAAAUAAGCCAUAAAACUAGAGGUCUGCAUGGGCGAUGUGGGAACAUCAGCAUAGCAAGGCUUCACAUCUUUUAAAAAGCACAAGAAAGGGGGACAAUACUCCAUAAAUUUAUGGCCAUUUUACUUUGGGGUAUGUGAAUGACAAGUGGAGUUUUGAGAAGAUGAUCAGAUUGAAUUAACAACUUUACUUGGAUUACUUUGUUAUUUUGAAAUUGGAAAUAUAUGUUAAAGUACAACAUAAGAUAUUGAUUACAUUUAUGUUAUUGUGCUGGUGUAAUUGAGAUACUAUUCCAUAUUAAUAAAAAUUUUAGUACAUCAAACAAUGA